Molecule: ribosomal RNA, 453 nt
Filed under: uncultured bacterium
Lineage: Bacteria
Description: bacterial SSU rRNA
Rfam family: Bacterial small subunit ribosomal RNA
Source: RNAcentral
GUGGGGAAUAUUGCGCAAUGGGCGAAAGCCUGACGCAGCGACGCCGCGUGGGUGAUGAAGGUCUUCGGAUCGUAAAGCCCUGUCGGAGAGGGAAGAACAACCCAGGGGAAUAAUACCUUCUGGGCCUGACGGUACCUUUCCAGAAAGCACCGGCUAACUCCGUGCCAGCAGCCGCGGUAACACGGAGGGUGCGAACGUUGUUCGGAAUCACUGGGCGUAAAGCGCGUGUAGGUGGCGCUGUAUGUCAGAUGUGAAAUCCCUCGGCUCAACCGAGGAAGUGCAUUUGAAACUGCAGUGCUAGAGUACGGGAGAGGGUUGUAGAAUUCCCGGUGUAGAGGUGAAAUUCGUAGAUAUCGGGAGGAAUACCUGUGGCGAAGGCGGCAACCUGGACCGAUACUGACGCUAAGACGCGAAAGCGUGGGGAGCAAACAGGAUUAGAUACCCCAGUAGUCC